AACGAACGCUGGCGGCAGGCUUAACACAUGCAAGUCGAACGCAUCCUUCGGGGUGAGUGGCAGACGGGUGAGUAACGCGUGGGAACGCGCCCUUCAGUUCGGGAUAACCCAGGGAAACUUGGGCUAAUACCGGAUACGUGCGAGAGCAGAAAGAUUUAUCGCUGAAGGAUCGGCCCGCGUCUGAUUAGCUAGUUGGUGGGGUAAUGGCCCACCAAGGCGACGAUCAGUAGCUGGUCUGAGAGGAUGAUCAGCCACAUUGGGACUGAGACACGGCCCAAACUCCUACGGGAGGCAGCAGUGGGGAAUAUUGGACAAUGGGCGCAAGCCUGACCCAGCCAUGCCGCGUGAGUGAUGGAGGCCUUAGGGUUGUAAAGCUCUUUCGUCCGGGACGAUAAUGACGGUACCGGAAGAAGAAGCCCCGGCUAACUUCGUGCCAGCCGCCGCAGUAA
RNAcentral lists this ribosomal RNA (449 nucleotides) under uncultured bacterium. Its description in RNAcentral is "partial 16S ribosomal RNA". It matches the Rfam family "Bacterial small subunit ribosomal RNA", at positions 29 to 523 of the family's 1533-position model. The record is from RNAcentral.